This 480-nucleotide ribosomal RNA is filed under the name uncultured bacterium. Its description in RNAcentral is "bacterial SSU rRNA". It matches the Rfam family "Bacterial small subunit ribosomal RNA", at positions 325 to 793 of the family's 1533-position model. The record is from RNAcentral.
CACUGUCACUCCUACGGGGAUGCAGCAGUGGGGGAAUAUUGCACAAUGGGCGCAAGCCUGAUGCAGCCAUGCCGCGUGUGUGAAGAAGGACCUUCGGGUUGUAAAGCACUUUCAGUCGUGAGGAAGGUAGUGUAGUUAAUAGCUGCAUUAUUUGACGUUAGCGACAGAAGAAAGCACCGGCUAACUCCGUGCCAGCAGCCGCGGUAAUACGGAGGGUGCGAGCGUUAAUCGGAAUUACUGGGCGUAAAGCGCAUGCAGGUGGUUUGUUAAGUCAGAUGUGAAAGCCCGGGGCUCAACCUCGGAAUAGCAUUUGUAAACUGGCAGACUAGAGUACUGUAGAGGGGGGUAGGAAUUUCAGGUGUAGCGGUGAAAAUGCGUAGAGAUCUGAAGGAAUACCGGUGGCGAAGGCGGCCCCCUGGACAGAUACUGACACUCAGAUGCGAAAGCGUGGGGAGCAAACAGGAUUAGAUACCCUGGUAG